Molecule: transfer RNA, 58 nt
Filed under: Balnearium lithotrophicum
Lineage: Bacteria; Pseudomonadati; Aquificota; Aquificia; Desulfurobacteriales; Desulfurobacteriaceae
Description: tRNA_Arg_CCT
Rfam family: tRNA
About the family: Transfer RNA (tRNA) molecules are approximately 80 nucleotides in length. Their secondary structure includes four short double-helical elements and three loops (D, anti-codon, and T loops).
Source: RNAcentral
AGCUCAGGAGGAUAGAGCGCGAGAUUCCUAAUCUCGAGGUCGCAGGUUCGAAUCCUGC